This 468-nucleotide ribosomal RNA is filed under the name uncultured bacterium. Its description in RNAcentral is "partial 16S ribosomal RNA". It matches the Rfam family "Bacterial small subunit ribosomal RNA", at positions 28 to 507 of the family's 1533-position model. The record is from RNAcentral.
GACGAACGCUGGCGGCGUGCUUAACACAUGCAAGUCGAACGGAAAGGCCCUGCUUUUGUGGGGUGCUCGAGUGGCGAACGGGUGAGUAACACGUGAGUAACCUGCCCUUGACUUUGGGAUGACUUCAGGAAACUGGGACUAAUACCGGAUAGGAGCUCCUGCUGCAUGGUGGGGGUUGGAAAGUUUCGGCGGUUGGGGAUGGACUCGCGGCUUAUCAGCUUGUUGGUGGGGUAGUGGCUUACCAAGGCUUUGACGGGUAGCCGGCCUGAGAGGGUGACCGGCCACAUUGGGACUGAGAUACGGCCCAGACUCCUACGGGAGGCAGCAGUGGGGAAUAUUGCACAAUGGGCGGAAGCCUGAUGCAGCAACGCCGCGUGCGGGAUGACGGCCUUCGGGUUGUAAACCGCUUUCGCCUGUGACGAAGCGUGAGUGACGGUAAUGGGUAAAGAAGCACCGGCUAACUACGUG